AGUGAACGCUGGCGGUAGGCCUAACACAUGCAAGUCGAACGGCAGCACAGUAGGAGCUUGCUCUUACGGGUGGCGAGUGGCGGACGGGUGAGGAAUACAUCGGAAUCUACUUUUUCGUGGGGGAUAACGUAGGGAAACUUACGCUAAUACCGCAUACGACCUACGGGUGAAAGCAGGGGAUCUUCGGACCUUGCGCGAUUGAAUGAGCCGAUAUCGGAUUAGCUAGUUGGCGGGGUAAAGGCCCACCAAGGCGACGAUCCGUAGCUGGUCUGAGAGGAUGAUCAGCCACACUGGAACUGAGACACGGUCCAGACUCCUACGGGAGGCAGCAGUGGGGAAUAUUGGACAAUGGGCGCAAGCCUGAUCCAGCCAUACCGCGUGGGUGAAGAAGGCCUUCGGGUUGUAAAGCCCUUUUGUUGGGAAAGAAAAGCAGCAGGUUAAUACCCCGCUGUUCUGACGGUACCCAAAGAAUAAGCACCGGCUAACUUCGUG
Molecule: ribosomal RNA, 492 nt
Filed under: uncultured bacterium
Lineage: Bacteria
Description: partial 16S ribosomal RNA
Rfam family: Bacterial small subunit ribosomal RNA
Source: RNAcentral